CUGGGUUGAUAGGGGGUAGGGGGUUUGUCUGUUAAUAAUUUUUUUACUCCAAAUCGGAUCGGACUGGCCCGGUAACAUGAACAGUACCGUGAACCGGUAUAGCCCGGCCCGGUUCAACGGUAACUUUUUUUUUAUUUUUUAUUUUAAUUUUUUGAAAUGGUGGGGCCCACAUUUCCGUUGGCCAACGGCUAAUUUACAAAAAUGGCCAUUUUUUCAUUAUUUUUUUGUAUUUAUUAAUUUGCAAUAUUAACCCUUCUUAAAAUCUAUAAA
This 270-nucleotide long non-coding RNA is filed under the name Nicotiana benthamiana. Its description in RNAcentral is "long non-coding RNA (NBEN_LNC001503)". Lineage: Eukaryota; Viridiplantae; Streptophyta; Magnoliopsida; Solanales; Solanaceae. The record is from RNAcentral.